GGGCGGAUCUGGGGGCGGAGGCGGGCCACGAUAGGCUUGAAGGGAGGGAUAUAGGGGCGGAACCUUCCGCGAGGGUGGGGCUGUCCUAGAGGCGGUGGCGGAAAGCAAGGAAGCAGGGGUUCGGCGAGGCCCUGCCCUACAGGGCUUGGCAGGGUUCGUGGCCGUUUGGGGUUGGUCCGAAGGGACAUCAUGUCCGUCGGGGGCGGGAUCGUCGUCACUGUCAAAGGACAUCAAGUCCUCUUCUUUGUCUGACAAAGAAGUCGUGGUCUCAACGGGCCUGGGCCCCGGCGCCAUAUUGGCCCGGGAGACUGCGUCAGAAUCACUGGCGGGUGUCAGCCCCUUACCAUCUCGGAGAGCUACCUCCCCAGCCUGUAUAGCCUGCGCCACCAGUGGAUCCCUCGCUUUAUGAGAAAUAAUAUCAUUAAUCAAAUUCCAAUAUGAGAACGCCGCAAUCGGGACCUUCCCGGGUCCGCAAGUGGCAUAAUAAUCCUGGAGAGCUUCCCCCACCUUUUUCCAUCUCUGUUCGUCAAUGGUUCCCUCAGCAGGGAACCCACGUUGGGCGCCACUUGUCCCGGCCCGCGGGUGCAAUGAGUUGAGCAGCUUUCCAGCAUCACACCCUUCCACUAUGAUGUUCCUGUCUUGGAGCCUGUCAACCAUGGACUGAAGUCUCUGAAACUGUGAGCCAAAAUGGACUACUCCUCCUUUAAUAUGCAUAUGUUCUAACAAUGGGAAGGUCAUUAAUAGAGUGGCAUAUUUAUAUUAAAUAUAAAUGAAUACCCAAUAUUGGGCUAAAAUGUUUAGAAACUCCAGGUUUUAAGAUUGUAAUUAGGCUAAAGUAAUUCUAGGUGGAAAUUAUCUGGUCAUUUAUGACACUACAAAUCCAUUGAUAUUGAUAACUAAAUUAUCCAAAGUUACCGUAAUCCUAUAUUGUAAAGAAGGGAGGAGCAGUCCUGAUUUAUAUGCCAAUUCUCAUCCAUGAGGUUUACAUAACCUUAAAAGGCAAGGGCUGCAUGUUUUCUUUUGAGACAAGGAAAAAUGCAGAAUGAGAUCUUCCAUGUAACUGUCUUUAAUUAUGAGGGAAAAGGUAAGGCACUGGAACAGGUUGGUUGCAUCCCUGGAACAGGGAUGCUCUUGAGUGACAGUAGGCAUUCUGAGGAGGGAGAGUUUCAUUAAACAGAGUUGUUUACUAAUAGACUUCCUAGUGCUCUUAAGAGAAACUCCUAAUAUGCAUUGUGAAUCUCUUAAGAUGCUGAAAGUAUUUGUAGCCAAACUUUUUUGACCAUGACCUUACUCUUUUGAGAAGCAUUUUGUGAUAUUAAUUUACCACUGAAUGUACUGGAAAACUUACAAUAGUAAUAAAUCAUUGUUUUCUCUGAAGUCUUCUGACAAGCAGCCCAUCCUCUACUACUGAAGUUAGUUUCCAUUGCCUUUCAAACUCAUUCUGUUUUAAUUAGGCUUCAUCAACUGUCAGGUUAUUCUCUUUUCUACCCCAUUCCAUCUACAUCCAAAACAUAUAUAUUGAGUUAUUUCCACUUAUCUAGUACCC
Molecule: long non-coding RNA, 1546 nt
Filed under: Heterocephalus glaber (naked mole-rat)
Lineage: Eukaryota; Metazoa; Chordata; Mammalia; Rodentia; Bathyergidae
Description: lncRNA (ENSHGLG00000041321.1)
Source: RNAcentral